GUAGGGAAUCUUGCGCAAUGGGUGAAAGCCUGACGCAGCCAUGCCGCGUGAAUGAUGAAGGUCUUAGGAUUGUAAAAUUCUUUCACCGGGGACGAUAAUGACGGUACCCGGAGAAGAAGCCCCGGCUAACUUCGUGCCAGCAGCCGCGGUAAUACGAAGGGGGCUAGCGUUGCUCGGAAUUACUGGGCGUAAAGGGAGCGUAGGCGGAUAGUUUAGUCAGAGGUGAAAGCCCAGGGCUCAACCUUGGAAUUGCCUUUGAUACUGGCUGUCUUGAGUACGGGAGAGGUGAGUGGAACUCCGAGUGUAGAGGUGAAAUUCGUAGAUAUUCGGAAGAACACCAGUGGCGAAGGCGACUCACUGGCCCGUUACUGACGCUGAGGCGCGAAAGCGUGGGGAGCAAACAGGAUUAGAAACCCUGGUAGUCC
This 425-nucleotide ribosomal RNA is filed under the name uncultured bacterium. Its description in RNAcentral is "partial 16S ribosomal RNA". It matches the Rfam family "Bacterial small subunit ribosomal RNA", at positions 354 to 796 of the family's 1533-position model. The record is from RNAcentral.